This 435-nucleotide ribosomal RNA is filed under the name uncultured bacterium. RNAcentral's name for it is "bacterial SSU rRNA". It matches the Rfam family "Bacterial small subunit ribosomal RNA", at positions 958 to 1398 of the family's 1533-position model. The record is from RNAcentral.
AACGCGAAGAACCUUACCAAGGUUUGACAUGGCCGGAAAAGCCGCAGAGAUGUGGUGUCCUUCGGGGUCGGUCACAGGUGGUGCAUGGCUGUCGUCAGCUCGUGUCGUGAGAUGUUGGGUUAAGUCCCGCAACGAGCGCAACCCUUACCCUUAGUUGCCACCCGCAAGGGGGAACUCUAAGGGGACUGCUCCGGAUAACGGAGAGGAAGGUGGGGAUGAGGUCAAGUCAGCAUGGCCUUUAUGUCCAGGGCUACACACGUGUUACAAUGCAUGGUACAGACCGUUGCAAACCCGCGAGGGGGAGCUAACCGGAAAAAACCAUGCUCAGUUCGGAUUGCAGUCUGCAACUCGACUGCAUGAAGCUGGAAUCGCUAGUAAUGGCGUAUCAGAACGACGCCGUGAAUACGUUCCCGGGCCUUGUACACACCGCGCAUA